CCUACGGGUGGCAGCAGUGAGGAAUAUUGGUCAAUGGGCGAGAGCCUGGACCAGCCAAGUCGCGUGAGGGAGUACUGCCCUAUGGGUUGUAAACCUCUUUUGUCGGGGAGCAAAGGCCGGACGUGUCCGGCUGUGAGAGUACCCGAAGAAAAAGCAUCGGCUAACUCCGUGCCAGAAGCCGCGGUAAUACGGAGGAGGCGAGGGUUAUCCGGAUUUAUUGGGUUUAAAGGGGGCGCAGGCGGAGUUUUAAGUCGGCGGUAAAAUCGUGGGGCUCAACCCCAGCCUGCCGUGGAAACUGGGGAUCUAGAGUGUGCGGAAGGCAGGCGGAAUGCGUGGUGUAGCGGUGAAAUGCAUAGAUAUCACGCAGAACCCCGAUUGCGAAGGCAGCAUGCUGGUGCACAACUGACGCUCAGGCACGAAAGCGUGGGUAUCGAACAGGAUUAGAUACCCCUGUAGUC
This 458-nucleotide ribosomal RNA is filed under the name uncultured bacterium. RNAcentral's name for it is "partial 16S ribosomal RNA". It matches the Rfam family "Bacterial small subunit ribosomal RNA", at positions 338 to 795 of the family's 1533-position model. The record is from RNAcentral.